UACGUAGGGUGCGAGCGUUAAUCGGAAUUACUGGGCGUAAAGGGCGCGUAGGCGGGUGUUUAAGUCAGAGGUUAAAUCCCAGGGCUCAACCCUGGAACUGCCUUUGAUACUGGGCACCUAGAGUUCGGGAGAGGUGUGUGGAACUCCGAGUGUAGAGGUGAAAUUCGUAGAUAUUCGGAAGAACACCAGUGGCGAAGGCGACACACUGGCCCGAUACUGACGCUGAGGCGCGAAAGCGUGGGGAGCAAACAGG
Molecule: ribosomal RNA, 253 nt
Filed under: uncultured bacterium
Lineage: Bacteria
Description: partial 16S ribosomal RNA
Rfam family: Bacterial small subunit ribosomal RNA
Source: RNAcentral